AAAUCGUACCCCAAACCGACACAGGUGGUCAGGUAGAGAAUACCAAGGCGCUUGAGAGAACUCGGGUGAAGGAACUAGGCAAAAUGGUGCCGUAACUUCGGGAGAAGGCACGCUGACACGUAGGUGAAGUGAUUUACUCAUGGAGCUGAAGUCAGUCGAAGAUACCAGCUGGCUGCAACUGUUUAUUAAAAACACAGCACUGUGCAAACACGAAAGUGGACGUAUACGGUGUGACGCCUGCCCGGUGCCGGAAGGUUAAUUGAUGGGGUCAGCGCAAGCGAAGCUCCUGAUCGAAGCCCCGGUAAACGGCGGCCGUAACUAUAACGGUCCUAAGGUAGCGAAAUUCCUUGUCGGGUAAGUUCCGACCUGCACGAAUGGCGUAAUGAUGGCCAGGCUGUCUCCACCCGAGACUCAGUGAAAUUGAACUCGCUGUGAAGAUGCAGUGUACCCGCGGCAAGACGGAAAGACCCCGUGAACCUUUACUAUAGCUUGACACUGAACAUUGAGCCUUGAUGUGUAGGAUAGGUGGGAGGCUUUGAAGUGUGGACGCCAGUCUGCAUGGAGCCGACCUUGAAAUACCACCCUUUAAUGUUUGAUGUUCUAACGUGGACCCGUAAUCCGGGUUGCGGACAGUGUCUGGUGGGUAGUUUGACUGGGGCGGUCUCCUCCUAAAGAGUAACGGAGGAGCACGAAGGUUGGCUAAUCCUGGUCGGACAUCAGGAGGUUAGUGCAAUGGCAUAAGCCAGCUUGACUGCGAGCGUGACGGCGCGAGCAGGUGCGAAAGCAGGUCAUAGUGAUCCGGUGGUUCUGAAUGGAAGGGCCAUCGCUCAACGGAUAAAAGGUACUCCGGGGAUAACAGGCUGAUACCGCCCAAGAGUUCAUAUCGACGGCGGUGUUUGGCACCUCGAUGUCGGCUCAUCACAUCCUGGGGCUGAAGUAGGUCCCAAGGGUAUGGCUGUUCGCCAUUUAAAGUGGUACGCGAGCUGGGUUUAGAACGUCGUGAGACAGUUCGGUCCCUAUCUGCCGUGGGCGCUGGAGAACUGAGGGGGGCUGCUCCUAGUACGAGAGGACCGGAGUGGACGCAUCACUGGUGUUCGGGUUGUCAUGCCAAUGGCACUGCCCGGUAGCUAAAUGCGGAAGAGAUAAGUGCUGAAAGCAUCUAAGCACGAAACUUGCCCCGAGAUGAGUUCUCCCUGAGACUUUAAGUCUCCUGAAGGAACGUUGAAGACGACGACGUUGAUAGGCCGGGUGUGUAAGCGCAGCGAUGCGUUGAGCUAACCGGUACUAAUGAACCGUGAGGCUUAACCUUAC
RNAcentral lists this ribosomal RNA (1311 nucleotides) under Salmonella enterica subsp. enterica serovar Virchow str. ATCC 51955. RNAcentral's name for it is "bacterial LSU rRNA". It matches the Rfam family "Bacterial large subunit ribosomal RNA", at positions 1639 to 2925 of the family's 2925-position model. Lineage: Bacteria; Pseudomonadati; Pseudomonadota; Gammaproteobacteria; Enterobacterales; Enterobacteriaceae. The record is from RNAcentral.